CCCCUUCAUGAGGACAGAGAUACAACAUUGUAUUCCUGGAUUUGUGGGUCCUUGGAUGUGCCAGGCACUGGUUUAAGCACUUUAAAUUAGUGACAUAGCUGGCCUUGCCUCCAUUUCUGCUGCUGCAUCAAGUUUCUGGCAGUUGCCUGCAGGGGAGCCCACAGGUGGGGACCAGUGUGGGACUAGGCAUGAACUAUGUGAGCACAACCUUGAAUCUGACA
Small nucleolar RNA from Panthera leo (lion), 221 nucleotides. Lineage: Eukaryota; Metazoa; Chordata; Mammalia; Carnivora; Felidae. The record is from Ensembl.